UACGUGGAGGAUAAUUUCCUGGGCCACCU
RNAcentral lists this non-coding RNA (29 nucleotides) under Mus musculus (house mouse). The record is from RNAcentral. Lineage: Eukaryota; Metazoa; Chordata; Mammalia; Rodentia; Muridae.